CCCCCUGGCUUCUAUUUGUCUUCCUUAUCAAUCAUGCCUGGAUUAACAAUCCCUGGCUUCCACUUGUCCAUCCACCAAUUAACAACUGGCUUCCUUUGUUAUACUGUUGUUGUUUCAACAUGUACAUAUAUAGCUGUUUGUUCCUAAUUGUUUCAUUCACCUGAUGAAGGAGUAAGAACAUGCUUCGAAACAUCGUGACCCUUCAUAAUAAAGAAGUUGUCAUCCAUAAAACUCUUGUCUUUAAUAUAGAUUCAGGGACUAAGCGUAAGUCGACACAAUACCCAAUGGCAUAGCGUAAUAUAGACAGCUUAUAGGAUCGCAUUGUAAAGAAUUUCUAACCUUCCCCAAAACCAGUCUUGUGAACACAAAUCAGAAAAUACUUAUCCCCAGUGAUGUUUUCAAUGCAUUUUUACUACAAAAAUAAAAUACAAAGAUCAUCAGAACAAAACAUUCGAAACCUUUUCAUAAACUAGUCUACUACUCUUUUCAUAAACUAUACCCAAGUUUUAAUCGAAUGAUCUUCACAUGUUAAACAUAUAACGGUAUCAGCGAAUAGAUCUUCA
Long non-coding RNA from Haliotis rubra (blacklip abalone), 563 nucleotides. RefSeq lists it as uncharacterized. The record is from RefSeq and is a predicted model, not a curated record. The transcript is spliced from 3 exons. NCBI's taxonomy places the organism in Eukaryota, Metazoa, Mollusca, Gastropoda, Lepetellida, Haliotidae.